Tympanuchus pallidicinctus (lesser prairie-chicken) is the source of this 3822-nucleotide long non-coding RNA. RefSeq lists it as uncharacterized. The record is from RefSeq and is a predicted model, not a curated record. NCBI's taxonomy places the organism in Eukaryota, Metazoa, Chordata, Aves, Galliformes, Phasianidae. The transcript is spliced from 2 exons.
UCUUCUUUCCCUCCUCCCCCGGUAAAUCCGAAGUUUCCUGUUAAGCACGGGCGAAGCUUUGCAAAGCGGUUGCGGAGCCGCCCGCUCGCUCCUUGGGAUUACCGUCGGGAGAGACUCCGCUCGGCUCCGAUCGGCUCGGGAAGGGCCCCCGCCCCCGCCACCUCUUCUCCUCCUCCUCCCCAGCCUUCCUCCAUCCCCGAGGGCGGACGCUGCACGCCGAGCCCCGGUCUCCCCCCCGCCUCCGUUGGAUAUACGUUGUCGUUGGGGAGCUGUGUAUGGAGGGGGGGGUCGUCCGCCUUCCUUUGCCCCGAUUGCAGCCUGGUCCCAUGUGAACCGCACGGCACGGCUAUGCUCCUGGGGACACCGAGCUCCGCCGAACUAAGGUCCUGGCUGCUACCAUGAGUGAUGGCGAGAGCCGAGAGCCGCGCCCGGCCGGCGGCGAGGUGCGGGUGCCCAUCACCGUGCCGCCCCGCCGCCCCGCCGAGCAGCCCCUGGACGAUGCCGGCUCCGUUCCCAGCGGUUCUCCCAGCCGCGACCCGCCGCCCGACCUGGCCUCCGAGGAGGAGGAGCAGGUGCCUUACCCGGCUCUGGCACCCACCGCUUUCUUCUGCCUCAAGCAAACCACCCGCCCGCGCAGCUGGUGCCUCAGGCUGGUCUGUAACCCAUAUCCUUUCCCCGAGGGGCACCGCACCCCGCACCAUCCCCAUCCCACUCCCGGAGCCCCUUCCCGUGCCCGGAGCACUUCACCAGGGUUCUGCAUCCUAGUGCCCAGGGAUGCUUGGAGCCCUGGGGUCCCUGCGGUUCCCUCUCUGCACUGCCCUGGUUCCCAUUCCCAGGAGGAGGAUGUGGGUCUGCACCCCCUCGCUGCAAGAGUGGGACACGUCAGUGUGCAUCACCCCCCAUGUAUAACCCCCUGCCCUGGGGAGGAACACGGUGAGGUCUCAGCUGUGGUAUGGGGCAGUGGGAUGAGGUGCUCCGGUGUCACAGGGAUGGGGACAGCACCGAGUUGCCACCCGCAGAACAGGGAGAAACCCUUCAACUUCGCUUCUCUCCCAGUCCGGGUGGGAGGGAGAGAAGUUUAUAGGCGACCUCGUAUUUAUUUGAGACGCGGUGGGGAAUUUCAGACAGGCGCUGACCCUUUUGCUGUUUAUAUAAGAGCUCAGAGUGCAUGUGUGCUUUCUCGUGGCAGAAAAAUGGAGCGGGUCGGAGUUUGGGGAGGGCACACACAUUGCUCCUAAAAACUCCCCUUUGCUUUUGUUCUUUUGCAACUUGCAGGCAGGGAAGGAGGAGGGAGUGCAAAGCUCUGCAUCUUCCCCCGUCUCCUGUGUCCUUUAUCCAGUUUAUUAAUGUUAAAUAAGAAAGAGCAGUCUGUUCCUUUCAGUUGUGACAUACGGGAAAAUUGAAUUUUACCCGAAAUGCUUGUGUGAAAGCUGAGAGUUGUCAGUCUGUCUCGGUGAUCUUCAGAAGUGAGCUUUUAGCUGUGCUCCGCACGUCAGCUCAGCAGCAUUGACAUUGUGCAGAUAAUUAAUGCUUUUUACCUCUACCCUGGUACCUGCCUGCAGCUCACUGCCUGCAUCCUGCCGCCGCUAUUAAAAGCAUUAUUUAUUAAUACUGUUAGUAUUGAUCUCCUUUCAGUUAACCAAAGAAACCCGUGUGCAUCUGAGAUCGCCGCUUUCCACCACCCGGUGAGCGGUGUCAUUAGGAGGAAUUGCACAACCCUCCUCAGGACGUUGCCUUAAUCUGUAAGGAAGAGAAAUCUUGGAGGGAAAAGCCCAUGGGUUGUUUUUUUUUUUUAUGGCCUUGAGCUUCCCCUUGUUUCAGCUGGGUUCACGUAAAGUUGCGCAGAGAGAUUUCUGCUUUAUGCUUUUGCAAGAAGGGCCGUGUGUGUAUUGAAGGGAGAAGGAAACGAGCAGGAGCUGUGCACAGCAAUGCUUCGGCCCUAUAGCCAAUAAACGUGGAGGAUAGUUCUGUAAUUAAAAAAAGUGAAGUAUCCAUUCCAUAUCCUCAUAUCUGAGGCAGAGCUGUUCCCACAAAGUAGAUUAUCUCCUUUCAAAACUUUGGGGGCUAAAGGAGGGUGAGGCCUCUCCCCGGGCUCUGGCAGCAGCUUGCUCUGGAGCAUUGCUCUGGGCUCAGCAGUCUUAAUGCACAGGUGCUGCCAAAUUAACCCACAGCUGAUAGGAAGCAGAGUGGUGUCACCUCCCAGCCAACAGCAUUCUAGGGAAAUGGGUUCAGGUGCGCUUGUGUGGGUGAGGUUGUGCUCUUAUUGUUGGGCAGAACUUUGUGUCACAGCAUCUUGCCAAAGAAUUCACAGGAGAGCAAAUUCCUUUGUAAAACUUAACUCGUGUGACAUCAUAUCGGAUGGAAAUUGUGACUGUUGGUUCACAGUGAGGCAGAAAUCUAAUAAAAGCUCAUAAGCCCCUUCUUCAGCAUUACUGCUGUCGGAACUGGCAUGUUUUGGCUGGAACAGAACAACGCUCGUGACAGGGGUCAAGCUCCUGGCUGGGAUUUUUCCCCACCUCUGUCUCCUCUUGCCCACCACUAGUCCCAUGUGCUGCAGUGAGAAAGUGUCAGCCCUUAAAUUUCUUGGUGAGAGUGUUUGCAGUGCUGCUGGGUGUGCUUUUGGAAGCUGUGCGGAGGAGUACAGAGGUGUGCAUCGCAUUGGGAACUGGGGUUGAGUGCGUGGCAGUGUUGGGCUUCUCAGGGAUGGAUGCCACUGCUGAGGGCUGGGGAACUUGGAGAGAUUGGAGGGCUGAGGUCCCCCCAUAAGGACUGAGAUCUCUGCCAGUGAUGUCCCAGGGGAAGAAAUAACUUGAAGCAGAGGUUGGAAGCACUGGGGGGUUUCUGGCCAGCCAUGCAGUUGUGGUGACUCUUCCUGCCUAUGUAAAAGCACAGAUCCAUAAAGCAUGAUAAUUAUCUUUAGGUUUGCAUUAAAAUCUCCCUCUGUUGCAGACAGAAGGGUGUAACUGUGGAGUUCUUAGAAUCUUGUGUCUGAGGUGCAUGCUUCUCUGGGAAGCACUGAACCUUUCUGUAAAGCGGGUUUCCUCCUUCAGUGCUGCUUUUUGUUGUCCUUUGCAUUCUUUGUGAUUGGGAAUGCUGGGGAAGUUUUCCCUCUGAGCCUCUAAUGCCCCUGUCCCCCCUGUCCCCGGCUCAUGGGGUAUUUCACAGCGUGGGGUUCAUUGUUUCUAUGAUAUUCUUGCUCGGAAACUUGCACGCCGCUAUGCAGAAAGCCUUUAUUUACCCCUGUGCUACUGCGUUGUCUGUCUGCCCAGCAUGCCUCAAAUCCUGUGGGUGCUCCAUCCUGCACGACUGGGGUUCUGUUUCCGUGUAGGCAGCUCUGUGGCAUCUUCCUGGGGUUGACACCGCAGAUCUGGGUGCAGGAGCAUCCUAAAAGGAGACGCCGUUGCAGCUCAAGAAGUGCUGCUGAGUGCAUCUCCUGGCUUAGGGCAAGCCCUUGUCAAUCCCACAUCACUUGAACUGCAAAAGCAGCCCAGCCGCUCGGAAUAUUUGUUGUCAGCAGAGAUAGCGCAGACCUGUGCCCCGGAGCAGGUGGAAUCCCACACGGCUCAGCCAGAAGCAUGGUUCCCUCUGCAGCUUAAGCAGGAGGGGGCUGCUGCCAGGCUUAGGAGCAGCUAAAAAAAGCCCCUGCCUGGUCCUUAGGGGGACAGGUGGGGCUGGGAUCAGCUUACGGGACCGGGAGCGUGCCGGGCUGGAGGCAUGCAGCCACCCCAGGGCUGUGCAUCGGGUGCUGGAGCAGCAGGCAGGAGGUGUGUGGCUGUGGGGUCGGUGACGGUACUUCAUUUGGAAGUGGAAAAAUCUCCCCCC